ACCAGACUCCUACGGGAGGCAGCAGUGGGGGAUAUUGCACAAUGGGGGGAACCCUGAUGCAGCGACGCCGCGUGGGUGAAGGAGCACCUCGGUGCGUAAAGCCCUAUCGGCAGGGAAGAAACAGACGGUACCUGACUAAGAAGCCCCGGCUAACUACGUGCCAGCAGCCGCGGUAAUACGUAGGGGGCAAGCGUUAUCCGGAUUCACUGGGGGUAAAGGGAGCGUAGACGGCGACGCAAGUCUGGAGUGAAAGCCCGGGGCCCAACCCCGGGACUGCUCUGGAAACUGCGGCGCUGGAGUACGGGAGGGGCAGGCGGAAUUCCUGGUGUAGCGGUGAAAUGCGUAGAUAUCAGGAGGAACACCGGCGGCGAAGGCGACUAUCUGGCACAUAACUGACGCUGAGGAGCGAAAGCGUGGGUAGUAAACAGGAUUAGAUACCCCGGUACC
Molecule: ribosomal RNA, 447 nt
Filed under: uncultured bacterium
Lineage: Bacteria
Description: partial 16S ribosomal RNA
Rfam family: Bacterial small subunit ribosomal RNA
Source: RNAcentral